UUGAAUCCAAACAGACCGCUUUUCCUCACGACUUCCGUUUCCGCGUUUUCUCCUUCACGCGGAAAUCGGAAGUUUUCAGACAUCGAUUCCAGAUUUCGGAGGAAAAGAAAUUAAAAAAACGCGGUUUUGAAUCUGAAAGUCGGUAAUUCUUCUUUUCUCCGAUCAAUUUCCUGGAAAUCGAAAGGAUGGGAACGCCGGAAUUCCCGAAUCUUGGCAAACACUGCAGCGUCGACGAUUGCAAGCUCAUUGAUUUCUUGCCUUUCACCUGCGAUCGAUGCAAUCAGGUAUUCUGUUUAGAGCAUAGAAGUUACACUAAACACCUAUGUCCCAAUGCCAACCAACAAGACGUCACUGUCCUAGUCUGCCCGCUCUGUGCUAAAGGUGUUCGCCUGAUAUCUGAUCAAGACCCUAAUAUUACUUGGGAGUUGCAUGUUAAUACCGACUGUGACCCAUCAAAUUACCAGAAAGCAACGAAGAAAAAGCGGUGUCCUGCCCCUGGCUGCAGAGAAACACUAACAUUCUCAAACACAAUCAGAUGCAGAGACUGCACCCUAGAGCAUUGCCUGAAGCACCGAUUUGGGCCUGACCACAAGUGUCCAGGACCUAAGAAACCCGAAUCGGGAUUUCCAUUUAUGGGUCUUCUAAGGAGGAGUCAGAAGGAUGAUUCAAGAUCAGUCAACAGUCCAGCUGCGUCGCCCCGGUGGGCUACAAACUUUCUCACUGCGGCUUCGAGUGUUCGUGCAUCUGCUGAAGCUGGUAUGGCAAAAUUGAGUAUAGCAACUACCCAAGCAUUGCAGAAGGCAAAGGAUGGGAUGGCGCAGAGCAGCAGCGGUGGUGGACUGGUGGAGGAGUGUGUUCAGUGUCCGGCGAGGUUCUCCACAGUUACAGCUCUGAUAGAGCAUGUCGAGAAAGUUCAUGAAGGUGGUGGCCGAGCCGGUCCUAAGAAGGUAACCAUUGAUGUCUGUCCCAAGUGCAGUAGAGGGUUCCGAGAUGCGGUUGCUUUGGUGGAGCAUGUAGAAAGAGACCAUGGCGGAACUUCAACUGCUUAAAAGCGAUGCUGAUCGAACUGGAUUGUUUUAGUCCUAUCCAUUUCAUUUUGAGCAGGUUGCAUCAGUCCUCUACUAUACAUCCGAGAUUUCGAACCGUGCAAUAUGACUUCAUGCAGAGAAAGCGACGACGUGCAACCAUUCGAAGGCCCCACCCAUAACUGCAUUGCGGUUGUUGCAGAUUUUCAAGCUGCAUAUGUUUGCCUGGAACAUUUGCGACUUCACUACCAUUGUUUCUCCCACUGGUAAUUCACUUACCAUUUAUACACCUGGGAAUUAAGUUAGCACCAUUCCAUGCCUAAAAAUGUAGCUGGUUAUACAACUACGGUAACAUCACGACCCCAGUGUGCAAAGCAAACGCUGAGAGUUGGUGUGCAUGUUGUCUCCGACCAUUAAAAAGACAUUCUGUAGGAGCUAGCAAUAAUUAGAAAAUGCGAAUUUCAGAUGGUUCUUUUGAAUGCA
RNA transcript from Magnolia sinica, 1508 nucleotides. It is a transcript of the gene named zinc finger AN1 and C2H2 domain-containing stress-associated protein 16-like, with no coding region annotated. The transcript is spliced from 4 exons. The record is from RefSeq and is a predicted model, not a curated record. NCBI's taxonomy places the organism in Eukaryota, Viridiplantae, Streptophyta, Magnoliopsida, Magnoliales, Magnoliaceae.